CCUACGUGCGGCAGCAGUGGGGAAUAUUGCACAAUGGGGGAAACCCUGAUGCAGCGACGCCGCGUGAAGGAAGAAGUAUUUCGGUAUGUAAACUUCUAGCAGCAGGGAAGAAAAUGACGGUACCUGACUAAGAAGCCCCGGCUAACUACGUGCCAGCAGCCGCGGUCAUACGUAGGGGGCAAGCGUUAUCCGGAUUUACUGGGUGUAAAGGGAGCGUAGGCGGUGAUGCAAGUCAGAAGUGAAAGCCGGAAGCUCAACUGCGGGACUGCUUUUGAAACUGUAUGACUAGAUUGCAGGAGAGGUAAGUGGAAUUCCUAGUGUAGCGGUGAAAUGCGUAGAUAUUAGGAGGAACACCAGUGGCGAAGGCGGCUUACUGGACUGUAAAUGACGCUGAGGCUCGAAAGCGUGGGGAGCAAACAGGAUUAGAUACCCCUGUAGUC
Molecule: ribosomal RNA, 440 nt
Filed under: uncultured bacterium
Lineage: Bacteria
Description: partial 16S ribosomal RNA
Rfam family: Bacterial small subunit ribosomal RNA
Source: RNAcentral